Molecule: ribosomal RNA, 123 nt
Organism: Danio rerio (zebrafish)
Lineage: Eukaryota; Metazoa; Chordata; Actinopteri; Cypriniformes; Danionidae
Source: Ensembl
GCAGAAGUAUAAAUCCGCCUUCACACUGCGGCCUAAGACUAUUUACUCAUUGAAGCUAAGCAGGCCUGAGCCUGAUCAAUACCUGAAUGGGAGACCACAUGGGAAAACUAGGUUGCUGUUGGA